GCUUGUGUAGUUCAGUUGGUAGAAUGUUUACCUAGCAUGCAUGAAGCCCUGGGUUCAAUCCCCAGCACUGCA
This 72-nucleotide transfer RNA is filed under the name Mesocricetus auratus (golden hamster). It matches the Rfam family "tRNA". From Rfam's summary of the family: Transfer RNA (tRNA) molecules are approximately 80 nucleotides in length. Lineage: Eukaryota; Metazoa; Chordata; Mammalia; Rodentia; Cricetidae. The record is from Rfam by way of RNAcentral.